This 84-nucleotide transfer RNA is filed under the name Erysipelothrix sp. RNAcentral describes it as "tRNA-Leu". It matches the Rfam family "tRNA". Rfam says of the family: Transfer RNA (tRNA) molecules are approximately 80 nucleotides in length. Their secondary structure includes four short double-helical elements and three loops (D, anti-codon, and T loops). The record is from RNAcentral. Lineage: Bacteria; Bacillati; Bacillota; Erysipelotrichia; Erysipelotrichales; Erysipelotrichaceae.
GCACCAGUGGCGGAAUGGUAGACGCGCACGCUUGAGGGGCGUGUGAGGCAACUCGUGGAAGUUCAAAUCUUCUUUGGUGCACCA